RNAcentral lists this ribosomal RNA (497 nucleotides) under uncultured bacterium. RNAcentral describes it as "partial 16S ribosomal RNA". It matches the Rfam family "Bacterial small subunit ribosomal RNA", at positions 28 to 507 of the family's 1533-position model. The record is from RNAcentral.
GACGAACGCUGGCGGCGUGCCUAAUACAUGCAAGUAGAACGCUGAAGAGAGGAGCUUGCUCUUCUUGGAUGAGUUGCGAACGGGUGAGUAACGCGUAGGUAACCUGCCUUGUAGCGGGGGAUAACUAUUGGAAACGAUAGCUAAUACCGCAUAACAAUAGGUGACACAUGUCAUUUAUUUGAAAGGGGCAAUUGCUCCACUACAAGAUGGACCUGCGUUGUCUUAGCUAGUAGGUGAGGUAACGGCUCACCUAGGCGACGAUACAUAGCCGACCUGAGAGGGUGAUCGGCCACACUGGGACUGAGACACGGCCCAGACUUCUACGGGAGGCCGCAGUAGGGAAUCUUCGGCAAUGGGGGCAACCCUGACCGAGCCACGCCGCGUGAGUGAAGAAGGUUUUCGGAUCGUAAAGCUCUGUUGUAAGUCAAGAACGAGUGUGAGAGUGGAAAGUUCACACUGUGACGGUAGCUUACCAGAAAGGGACGGCUAACUACGUG